AAACUUUCAACAACGGAUCUCUUGGCUCUGGCAUCGAUGAAGAACGCAGCGAAAUGCGAUAAGUAAUGUGAAUUGCAGAAUUUAGUGAAUCAUCGAAUCUUUGAACGCACAUUGCGCCCCUUGGUAUUCCGAGGGGCAUGCCUGUCCGAGCGUCAUUA
RNAcentral lists this ribosomal RNA (158 nucleotides) under Helotiales sp. RNAcentral's name for it is "5.8S ribosomal RNA". It matches the Rfam family "5.8S ribosomal RNA". From Rfam's summary of the family: 5.8S ribosomal RNA (5.8S rRNA) is a component of the large subunit of the eukaryotic ribosome. It is transcribed by RNA polymerase I as part of the 45S precursor that also contains 18S and 28S rRNA. Functionally, it is thought that 5.8S rRNA may be involved in ribosome translocation. Lineage: Eukaryota; Fungi; Ascomycota; Leotiomycetes; Helotiales. The record is from RNAcentral.